Molecule: non-coding RNA, 423 nt
Organism: Cajanus cajan (pigeon pea)
Lineage: Eukaryota; Viridiplantae; Streptophyta; Magnoliopsida; Fabales; Fabaceae
Source: RefSeq, a predicted model, not a curated record
UGGUAGUCGUAGCUGUUCUUGAAAUUCCCCACCGGUCGGAGAACGAUUCCCGGAAACUCCGUGUCCAUCGCGAUGUACGGGUAAUCGUCCACGAUUUCCCGGAUCAACGCGAACUCCUCUUCCAGGUUAUCGUUCCACACCUCGCGAAUCUCGAUCGAGUCGCUUUUCGCCAAAAUCAGCGGCAUUCCUUGCAAUCACUCCACCGGAUCUGUUAAUGUCAAUGUCAAAUUCAAAUUCAAAUUCAAUCAGAAUCAGAAUCAGAAUCAUCCAAUCGAUUAAUUAAACGAAAUUAAAUGAAUUGAAUUUCGUUACCACCUGGGUCGGGGAAGGAAGUUGAGGAGGAGGAGAGAGAGGGAAGAGAUUUGUGGGGGAAUGAAAAUCUCUCCCGUGUUAGGGUUUUCUUUUUUCUUUUGUUAUCAAAAG